AUGCAAGUCGAGCGGGGGAAGGUAGCUUGCUACCGGACCUAGCGGCGGACGGGUGAGUAAUGCUUAGGAAUCUGCCUAUUAGUGGGGGACAACAUCUCGAAAGGGAUGCUAAUACCGCAUACGUCCUACGGGAGAAAGCAGGGGAUCUUCGGACCUUGCGCUAAUAGAUGAGCCUAAGUCGGAUUAGCUAGUUGGUGGGGUAAAGGCCUACCAAGGCGACGAUCUGUAGCGGGUCUGAGAGGAUGAUCCGCCACACUGGGACUGAGACACGGCCCAGACUCCUACGGGAGGCAGCAGUGGGGAAUAUUGGACAAUGGGGGGAACCCUGAUCCAGCCAUGCCGCGUGUGUGAAGAAGGCCUUAUGGUUGUAAAGCACUUUAAGCGAGGAGGAGGCUACUUUAGUUAAUACCUAGAGAUAGUGGACGUUACUCGCAGAAUAAGCACCGGCUAACUCUGUGCCAGCAGCCGCGGUAAUACAGAGGGUGCGAGCGUUAAUCGGAUUUACUGGGCGUAAAGCGUGCGUAGGCGGCUUAUUAAGUCGGAUGUGAAAUCCCCGAGCUUAACUUGGGAAUUGCAUUCGAUACUGGUGAGCUAGAGUAUGGGAGAGGAUGGUAGAAUUCCACGUGUAGCGGUGAAAUGCGUAGAGAUCU
This 650-nucleotide ribosomal RNA is filed under the name Acinetobacter baumannii Naval-81. RNAcentral describes it as "bacterial SSU rRNA". It matches the Rfam family "Bacterial small subunit ribosomal RNA", at positions 55 to 699 of the family's 1533-position model. Lineage: Bacteria; Pseudomonadati; Pseudomonadota; Gammaproteobacteria; Moraxellales; Moraxellaceae. The record is from RNAcentral.